RNAcentral lists this ribosomal RNA (1381 nucleotides) under Sumaterana dabulescens. RNAcentral describes it as "partial 16S ribosomal RNA". It matches the Rfam family "Bacterial large subunit ribosomal RNA", at positions 372 to 2563 of the family's 2925-position model. The record is from RNAcentral. Lineage: Eukaryota; Metazoa; Chordata; Amphibia; Anura; Ranidae.
CCUAAAAUCUAGCCCACACAAUUCGCAUACCCACCUCACCCAAUUAUUAUCUAAUAAACCAUUUUAACUUUUUAGUAAAGGCGAUCGAAAAAUUUCUAGGCGCUUCAGAUUUAGUACCGCAAGGGAACUAUGAAAUAGUUAUGAAAUAAUCCUAAAGCCCACAAUAGCAGAGGUAUAACCUCGUACCUUUUGUAUCAUGGUCUAGCCAGUCUACCCAAGCAAAAAGAAAUUUUUAGUUUGACCCCCCGAAACUAAGCGAGCUACUUCAAAACAGCCCUAUGGGGCCAACCCGUCUCUGUUGCAAAAGAGUGGGAAGAUUAUUAAGUAGAGGUGAUAAGCCUACCGAGCUUAGAGAUAGCUGGUUAUUCAAGAAAAGAGUUUAAGCUCUACCUUAAGUUUUGUUUUCUUAUCAAAAACCCUUUUAGACUUAAGAGCUAUUCAAAUAAGGCACAGCUUAUUUGAAAAAGGACACAACCUAAAAUAUUGGGUAAAUUAAAGGUCUAAUUAGCCAAGUGGGCCUAAAAGCAGCCAUCUUCUAAAAAAGCGUUAAAGCUUGACACUUAAUAUCCCUUCAAUUUCUCGAACAAUUCUCAACCCUUCACCACUAUUGAAUUAUUUUAUACCUAUAUAAAAGAUAUUAUGCUAGAACUAGUAACAAGAAACUGGCUUUCUCCAAAAUGUAAACAUAAACCAAAACGGACAUACCAUCGGAAAUUAACGUAAAUGAAAAAAUUAUAGCAACACAAAACCAGAAUACCCUAUGAUCUUUGACGUUAGCCUAACACCAGAACAUUAAAGGAAAGAUUAAAAGAGAAAGAAGGAACUCGGCAAAUUUAAGCCCCGCCUGUUUACCAAAAACAUCGCCUCUUGAUAAUAUAUAAGAGGUCCAGCCUGCCCGGUGACAAAGUUUAACGGCCGCGGUACCCUGACCGUGCAAAGGUAGCAUAAUCACUUGUCCUUUAAAUAGGGACUUGUAUCAACGGCAUCACGAGGGCCUUACUGUCUCCUUCCUCCAAUCAGUGAAACUGAUCUUCCCGUGAAGAAGCGGGAAUAAACCUAUAAGACGAGAAGACCCCAUGGAGCUUUAAAUUUAUUAUAUACCUCUACGCACCAAAAUCAUCAUUAGCCAAGAUGCCUGUAUAUUAGUUUUAGGUUGGGGCGACCGCGGAGUAAAACUUAACCUCCACAACAAAAAGGCUAAGCCUUUAUCUCAGAUUCUACGAAUCUAAGAAUCAACAAAUUGAUGUUAAAUGACCCAAACGUUUGAUCAAUGAACCAAGUUACCCUGGGGAUAACAGCGCAAUCUACUUUGAGAGCCCAUAUCGACAAGUGGGUUUACGACCUCGAUGUUGGAUCAGGGUAUCCUAGUGGUGCAACCGCU